RNAcentral lists this long non-coding RNA (233 nucleotides) under Glycine max (soybean). Its description in RNAcentral is "long non-coding RNA (GMAX_LNC003580)". Lineage: Eukaryota; Viridiplantae; Streptophyta; Magnoliopsida; Fabales; Fabaceae. The record is from RNAcentral.
GAACAUGGAGAUUCUACCAAUGUCAGUGCUAACAAUAGACUCCAUAGUGCUUUUGAUGUUGAUCCUUUCAAUAAGGACUACCAUUAGAUCCCCCUCUAGAGUUCUUCGAAGGAAUGGAGUUUGCAUCACUUGAAGGCACAACGAAUCACUACACAAGGUACGCAGGGUCGUAUUGUUAAAUCAAGAACAAAUGGCAUGAUAAUUGGCUAAGAGAUCCAUUUAUUUCAAAAGAG